Molecule: transfer RNA, 71 nt
Filed under: Stichopathes sp. n. NB-2020
Lineage: Eukaryota; Metazoa; Cnidaria; Anthozoa; Antipatharia; Antipathidae
Description: tRNA-Met
Rfam family: tRNA
About the family: Transfer RNA (tRNA) molecules are approximately 80 nucleotides in length. Their secondary structure includes four short double-helical elements and three loops (D, anti-codon, and T loops).
Source: RNAcentral
CGUAGGGUAGACUAACGGAAAGUCACCAGACUCAUGAUCUGGUGAUGCAGGUUCGACUCCUGCCUCUACAA